Molecule: ribosomal RNA, 531 nt
Filed under: uncultured bacterium
Lineage: Bacteria
Description: partial 16S ribosomal RNA
Rfam family: Bacterial small subunit ribosomal RNA
Source: RNAcentral
UGGGGAAUAUUGGACAAUGGGGGCAACCCUGAUCCAGCCAUGCCGCGUGUGUGAAGAAGGCCUUUUGGUUGUAAAGCACUUUAAGCAGGGAGGAGAGGCUAAUGGUUAAUGCCCAUUAGAUUAGACGUUACCUGCAGAAUAAGCACCGGCUAACUCUGUGCCAGCAGCCGCGGUAAUACAGAGGGUGCGAGCGUUAAUCGGAAUUACUGGGCGUAAAGCGAGUGUAGGUGGCUCAUUAAGUCACAUGUGAAAUCCCCGGGCUUAACCUGGGAACUGCAUGUGAUACUGGUGGUGCUAGAAUAUGUGAGAGGGAAGUAGAAUUCCCAGGUGUAGCGGUGAAAUGCGUAGAGAUCUGGAGGAAUACCGAUGGCGAAGGCAGCUUCCUGGCAUAAUAUUGACACUGAGAUUCGAAAGCGUGGGUAGCAAAACAGGAUUAGAUACCCUGGUAGUCCACGCCGUAAAACGAUGUCUACUAGCCGUUGGGGUCCUUGAGACUUUAGUGGCGCAGUUAACGCGAUAAGUAGACCGCCU